Raphanus sativus (radish) is the source of this 1220-nucleotide long non-coding RNA. RefSeq lists it as uncharacterized. Lineage: Eukaryota; Viridiplantae; Streptophyta; Magnoliopsida; Brassicales; Brassicaceae. The transcript has 2 exons. The record is from RefSeq and is a predicted model, not a curated record.
UAAUAACACAAGUUAAUUUCGAUACUUAGCUAAGGUUUUUUGUGAGCGAAUUUUUGGUGGGUUUCAAACCAUGUGUCAUUGUUUGAUUUGGCCUUCUUCUUUUUUUUCUUUUUUUUUUCUUUCUUUUGUUCUCUUUCUCGUCUCUGUCUCUCGAUUCAUCGUCUUCUCCGUCAAGAGGAGAGACCCAACGAUCUCCUCCGCGUUCUCUGCCGAAACCGACGAUCGGAACCGAGGACGACUCUUUUGUCUUCACGGAGUCUCGUCCCAGUUGUCUCGUCUUCUCCAUCGGAUCAAGGAUCGAAACCGACGACAGACAACGUCUCUCUGGCUCCUCACGGAGAUUCCUCCGCCUUCUCAGCCUAACCGACGAUCGAAACCGAGGAGGACUCUGUUGGCUCCUCCGCCGACGACUCUGUUGUCUCCUCCGCCGAAGACUCUGUUGGUUCCUCCGCCGACGACUGUUGGAGAUAAGUUCUCACUUCCCAACUAUUGCAUCCUUCUCGUUUCAAUUCGAGCUUUAGUUAAGUUAAUGAUUGUGAUAACAAUUUUGUGUGUCAUUGUAAAGCUUUGCCGAUUACGGUUUCAAGCUUAGUCUGAUUGUGAUUACGGUUUUAAGUUUUAGUUAAGUGUAUUGUUGUUUCAAGCUUUAUCUGAUUGUGAUUACGGUUUUAAACAGAACAGACAGAGAGUGUCUUGUAUUGUUGUCUGAAAACUCUUUAGAACCAUUUGCUGGUUUGUUCAAACAAGUUGAUUAUUUGUGAAUGCUAAUUAAGGUAGUUUAUUGGUUAUUUGCGUAGAUGAAUCAUGUGAGGAGGCAAAGACAGCUUAUUUGUUGGAGGUUUAUGGCGCGGGGAUGACGCAAAGAUCAGUGAUCUGACUACUUGAUUGCUUCAUCUGCUGGUUAGUUUUACUGAGAUGUUGCAGAGUCAGGAAGAGACUUUCAUUCCUGAAACCUUUCCGUAUGGAAGUUUUUCACAUGGAUCAUCACAACUUCCUUCUCAAACUCCAAGCUUCUGUGAAGACUCAUCUCCAGCGCGUAAAGGAAGGAAGAAAUGGUCUGUCACAGAUGAUCUAGUGCUCGUUAGCGCAUGGCUAAACACGAGCAAGGAUCCGGUGGUAGACAAUGAGCAGAAAUUGAAUCUAUGUUUUAAAUGUUAACUUUUAAUAUGUUUUAUAUAAUAAAUAAAUUUUAUCUUAAAUAAUUUUUUUUUAAGAACUCA